This 507-nucleotide ribosomal RNA is filed under the name uncultured bacterium. Its description in RNAcentral is "bacterial SSU rRNA". It matches the Rfam family "Bacterial small subunit ribosomal RNA", at positions 399 to 895 of the family's 1533-position model. The record is from RNAcentral.
GCGUGAGUGAUGAAGGUUUUAGGAUCGUAAAGCUCUGUCAGUGGGGAAGAAACACCUGCCGGGUAAUAUCCUGCAGGCUUGACGGUACCCACAAAGGAAGCACCGGCUAACUCCGUGCCAGCAGCCGCGGUAAUACGGAGGGUGCAAGCGUUGUUCGGAAUUAUUGGGCGUAAAGCGCGUGUAGGCGGUUGUUUAAGUCUGAUGUGAAAGCCCUGGGCUCAACCCAGGAAGUGCAUUGGAAACUGGACAACUUGAGUACGGGAGAGGAAAGUGGAAUUCCGAGUGUAGGGGUGAAAUCCGUAGAUAUUCGGAGGAACACCAGUGGCGAAGGCGGCUUUCUGGACCGAUACUGACGCUGAGACGCGAAAGCCGUGGGGAGCAAACAGGAUUAGAUACCCUGGUAGUCCACGCCGUAAACGAUGGGUACUAGGUGUCGCGGGUAUUGACCCCUGCGGUGCCGCAGCUUACGCAUUAAGUACCCCGCCUGGGGAGUACCGCCGCAAGGCU